CCUACGGGAGGCAGCAGUGAGGAAUAUUGGUCAAUGGACGAGAGUCUGAACCAGCCAAGUAGCGUGAAGGAUGACUGCCCUAUGGGUUGUAAACUUCUUUUAUAUGGGAAUAAAACGUUCCACGUGUGGGCUUUUGUAUGUACCAUAUGAAUAAGGAUCGGCUAACUCCGUGCCAGCAGCCGCGGUAAUACGGAGGAUCCGAGCGUUAUCCGGAUUUAUUGGGUUUAAAGGGAGAGUAGGUGGAUUGUUAAGUCAGUUGUGAAAGUUUGGGGCUCAACCGUAAAAUUGCAGUUGAAACUGGCAGUCUUGAGUACAGUAGAGGUGGGCGGAAUUCGUGGUGUAGCGGUGAAAUGCUUAGAUAUCACGAAGAACUCCGAUUGCGAAGGCAGCUCACUGGACUGCAGCUGACACUGAGGCUCGAAAGUGUGGGUAUCAAACAGGAUUAGAUACCCUUGUAGUC
This 460-nucleotide ribosomal RNA is filed under the name uncultured bacterium. RNAcentral's name for it is "partial 16S ribosomal RNA". It matches the Rfam family "Bacterial small subunit ribosomal RNA", at positions 338 to 795 of the family's 1533-position model. The record is from RNAcentral.